AUGCAUUGGCCGCAUCUCUCUCUCUCUCUCUCUCUCUCUCUCUCUCUCUCUGUGUGUGUGUGUGUGAGAGAGAGAGAGAGAGAGAGAAUUGGCUUAUUAU
Non-coding RNA from Podarcis lilfordi (Lilford's wall lizard), 100 nucleotides. The record is from the annotation of a GenBank genome assembly. NCBI's taxonomy places the organism in Eukaryota, Metazoa, Chordata, Lepidosauria, Squamata, Lacertidae.